CCUACGGGAGGCAGCAGUGAGGAAUAUUGGUCAAUGGACGAGAGUCUGAACCAGCCAAGUAGCGUGAAGGAUGACUGCCCUAUGGGUUGUAAACUUCUUUUAUAAAGGAAUAAAACGAGGCACGUGUGCCUUUUUGCAUGUACUUUAUGAAUAAGGAUCGGCUAACUCCGUGCCAGCAGCCGCGGUAAUACGGAGGAUCCGAGCGUUAUCCGGAUUUAUUGGGUUUAAAGGGAGCGUAGAUGGGUUGUUAAGUCAGUUGUGAAAGUUUGCGGCUCAACCGUAAAAUUGCAAUUGAUACUGGCAGUCGUGAGUACAGUUGAGGUAGGCGGAAUUCGUGGUGUAGCGGUGAAAUGCUUAGAUAUCACGAAGAACCCCGAUUGCGAAGGCAGCUUACUAAACUGCCACUGACAUUGAUGCUCGAAAGUGUGGGUAUCAAACAGGAUUAGAUACCCCUGUAGUC
This 460-nucleotide ribosomal RNA is filed under the name uncultured bacterium. Its description in RNAcentral is "partial 16S ribosomal RNA". It matches the Rfam family "Bacterial small subunit ribosomal RNA", at positions 338 to 795 of the family's 1533-position model. The record is from RNAcentral.